CAUUUGUUUACAAGUAGGGGUAUAUAUGAGCCACUUUUAUAACGAGGGGUAUAUCAGCUCUAAAUGAAAAAGUUGAGGGGUAUAUCAGACCCUUUUCCCUAUUAUUAUUAUUGUUAUUGUUUGUUAAAAUUGGAUGAUGAAGAAAUUAUCGUCGAUUUCUAAGGCCUCCUAUGUUCAUAAGACAGAUUUUUAUUUUUAAGUUAUUAUUUGGUUUAAUUAUUUUUAUUCAUAUUUAUUUAUUACUAACACUUUUACCAAGUGUCUUUACAGGUACACAGAGUUGCUUUUCAUUGAAGCUACUCGAAGAACUCGAAUUAUAUUUUUUUAUUCAUUAUUAAGUAAAUAUUGACGUUAGGCAAACCUUAGGCUGUUUCUUAUGUUAUUAUUUUAUUUUAUUACUUGUGCAUAUUGCAUGUUUAUAUUACUCACAUAUUAUUAUUAUCUUCUUUUAUUACUUGUGUAUAUUGCAUGUUUAUAUUACUAAUAUAUUAUUAUUAUCUUCUUCUCAAUUUGAAAAGAAAAAUAAGCUCAGUCGGGAACCACAAUUGUGGAUUUCGAAAGAUGCUUAACCUCUUAUCUUCGAAAUAACUAGAACCCCCUACCUACAUCAAUUGGUUCCGUAGACUUUCUUUUGAGUUAAUUUGUUAAUUGGUUUUCUAGUUUUCCUUAAAAUUACGUAGCAACUCCAUUUAAAUCAUUUUUCCCUUUUCCCUUUAACCCUUUUACCCGUUUUAAAUUUUUUAAACUAUUUCUAUUUUAAUUGAGACACCGCGACGUUGCUCCUAUUCAAGGAAUGUCAACGAGGACCAAUGGACUGCCCAAAAAGCUGUUAAAAAGAUUUUGACUCACGAAAGGGGCACCCACAAGUAGUGAGUAGGGGUCGUGAGUUGAGGCCAAACCUCCCCCAAAUCCCCAAGUUUCAGUACUGAACCACACCCUUGUAGUACGGCUUGUAGACCCACUCACGCCCCAUGAAUGGGUCUCGUGAGUGGGUGGCUUGAGUUGGCCAAGAGAAUGGCUGCAAACCCAAACCACGGACUUGCAGGAUGAGGCGUCAGCCCACCUACGGUCCUGGGUGGUGAGUCAUUUCCUGCAAAAGUUGUUAAAGUCUCGUCCAAUGCUUAGCCAAAGCCAUUAACUCCAAGAGUUAUUAUAUUAGUGUGGGAUCAUUUUAAUUCAUUUAAUCAUACAUAUAUAAGUAGUAAUAAACCAUUGACCACCUCUUUAAAUCACCAGACUCAAACUAGAAACCAACUCUCCGCUCCAAAUAUUCUCUCUCUAAGAACUCCAUAGAAGAAGCAAAACCAAGGUCAAGUUAGGGUUCAAGGAGUAGCUUUCUUCUCUAAUUUAUUAUGGAAAUCAACCUAAGGUAUGAAUUCUUUUCAUCUUUGGGUAGCUAUCACCCAAAGAUCCCUUUCAAACUAUGUUUUUAAGACUUCAAAUUCCCCCCAAAAAUUUAAGGUUUCAAUUUGUGUCAUGGGUCUUCUUCCAGAUGAAUUUAAAUUGUUUAAUUAUCAUUUAUUAUGGUUGAUUAUGAUGAAUUGUGGUUGGAAUAAUGGAGUAUUGUUGAAUUAUGAUGAAAAUCUCCCUUGGACACAUGAUUUCCCCGUCUUUCUAAAUUGUGAACUGAGGUGUGACUUUAUUGAUUAUGAAAGCUUCAAAAUUGACUACAUUUACAAUUAUUAAGUUUUUGAAUGAUGAUAUCUCUCUAUCUAGGGUUGUAAUUUUAGAAGUUACGGUUGUUCUUUAUUCAUAGUCUUGAAGGGAAACUUGUUAGGGUUUGUAUGUGUUGAUGAGGAUUGAAUAUGAACUCCUGAUCUACUUAAAUAGUGAUAAUCCUAUGACUAUUGUAUAUUGAUGAUGUUGAUGCAAGAUCCUUCUCCCCUAUACUCUUACACAAUAUUAUGCAUGAAUUGUCUAUGACUAUGAUAAUGUGUUUGUGUUGAUUGAAAGACUACUCUCAUGAAACACUAUGAACAUGAUGUUCACACCCAAUUUUAACCCUCUCCGAUAUAUAUUAAUUAACGAGCUUACUAACUUGAAACAAUUGAUUUUAUAAAGUUUAAAGUGUUUUAAAAUUAUUUUUAAGUUUAUCUUGUCCUUAUAUAUAUGUGUGUGUGUGUGUGUGUGUGUGUGUGUGUGUAUAUAUAUAUAUAUAUAUAAUUUUUUAGAUAAUAUAUCUGUUUCGCAUAAUUAUGCUACGACUAGUGUAUUCUAUGAUUAAUCGAAAGUCGUCUCAAAAAGAUUUUAUUUUUGUUUAAAUAUUUUUACUAAUUAAUUUAGUCGUAUAAUAGCUUAUUUCUUUUAUUUAUUUAUCUUAUAACUAAAUCAUUUAUUUAUUUUCGUUCAUAUUAAGAAGCUUAUUUAAUUAAUUUUUAUUAAUUCAUCUCACCUAAAUUACCAAGUGUUUAAAAAACCAUUAGAAGACCAUUUUGGGCCUUUUUGCCGAUUUUCCACGCAACCCUAUUUUCCAACCAUUUUUUUAGGCCAAUUCCAUGUUUUCCUAAAUUGACCCAGCACCCUUUUUACUAAUCUUCCAUCCCACACUUUCUCCAAGCCACUCCUAGCCGCCCGACCCGGCCCAAUCUCCCCUUCACAAGGAGGAAUCCGGAGCAGCAUAACCACUCCCAGAAUUUUUCCUAAUUCCACGCGCAGCGUGCAAAUUCCCAGCGAACAAGAGAUCCCCAGCAACGAUACGCGUGAACGACACCCUCGCGUGCAUGCGGAGAGUGGGUAUUUUGUCUCUUCUUCAUGUUUGUUUGACUCGUACGACUGUAGUAGUGUGAGGCAGGUCGUCCUUUUAUCCUUUCGCAUGCGGAUGUGUGACACGUCGCACUGAAGGACGAAUAAAUUCAUUCAAUCUGUCCGUUCUCCUUUCCUUUUGGGAAUGGAUUCAGAACUUCAAGGAAAGUUGUUCAUCCCAUUUCGGUAAAAGUGUGUGGGAUUUCAAAAUUCGAAUUGGGCCUCCUCUCAUCCAAAUUUUGAUGUUUUCCCCCUCUUUUCAAAAACCCUAGCCCCUACUAUAUAUAUUCGUUAUUGGUUUAUUGUUGUUUGGAAUUUUUUGGGGGUGAGAAAUUAGAAAGGAAUUUAGAUUUGGAAGAUUUUUUAGUCGAAGUUCUUCUUUUCCUUGGCAAGAGUCUAGACUGAGAGAUAAAGUUCACAAAAAAAAAGAGGAAAAAAUUUGGAGGUCGAAAUUUUUUGGGAAAGAAAAUAGGGAGAAAUUUUUUUUGUUUCUUUUGAGCGAGAUUCUUGUUUUGGCUGAGAGAAUUGCCCUUGCGUGAAAAAAUACUCACAACAUCUUAAAAGAAAAUACAGACAAGAACAUUUAUAUAAAGUGUUCUAGUUCGGCUCGAGGCUUAGGAUUUGGCUUUUGGAUUCCCGUCCGUUUGUUUGUAUUUCGAGUCUUGUAGUGAAGUCACUGCCUCCCCUGCUUGUGUUUGUUCCAGGUUGCUGCAAUCUGAAAGUGGCAUGUGAAAUCCGUUCGAAUUCAUUAUGAAUUCUUGAGUUGAUCGGGUCAAGUGGCAAGAUAAGGAGUAGGUCCUCACAAAUCGAUGCACAAGUGUUGGAGUUGGAAAAUGCGGAAACGGAAGAAAAUUGAGAAAGUUGGGCCAAAGGACUAUCUUUUACUUUGAAUUUUUGUAUUUUGUUUUUUGGGCCUAACCCCUUAUAUCUUUAUCAUUAUUGUAUUGCUAGAAUUUAGGACAGGUACCGUUGAGAUGGACCAAAGGCUCGAAACGAGAUAGGCCAAAGGCUUUAAAAGAAAUGGGUCCAAAUACCGAUCCAGGCGGACAGAAAUUGGAUUUGGACCCAACUCUCUCUCUCUCUUUCUAUCCCUUUUACUUUAUCGCUUAUAUGUUUGUUAUUAUUUAUGUUUAACUUUAGGGUCGGAAACUUCAAAUCUCUAGGAGACUUCAUCUCGUUUUAACAAUUUAAUUAAAUCAACCAAAUAUAAAUAAAUAUAAAAAGUAAAUUUGCGUGUCAAAUCUCGCUUAGAUCAUAAUUAAUACUUCACUUUCAAAGAAACUAAAUAAUCUUGUAUCUCAAAAUUAUGUUAGAUCAAUUAGCCAAACAAAGCUAGUUGUCAGAAAAUAGCAAGUUAGCGAAUAUUUUAGGUGUCGUAAAAACUUUUCCAAAAUAUAAAUAUGAUUCCCCGAACCCCUUUAAAGUUUUUUUAAGGAUUUUAUGUUUAAAUCUUUUCGAAAACUAAGUUUUUCUUGAUUUUUCUAAAAAAUUAAGUGACGACUCUUAAAAGGCCCAAAAACUUAUAAAAAAUAUUUUCCCCAAAAAAACUAAUAAAACAAAAAUGAUGACUCUGCUGGGGAAUUUGAGGAUUCUAACCUUGAAAUAAUUUUAUUUGGCUACGUGAAAUUAUUAUUCAUGGCAUAUUUUCGUCAAUCGGCAAAUAGUUACAUUAGGAUAAAGAGAGUUACGUGGCUUACCACGACUCUUCUCAGAAAUACCUUAAGUCUUCAUUUGGAAGUAACAAACGAAUAGUUGGCUUGCAGUCAUCCAACGUCGUUUGUUAGCUUCAAACGUUUGCAGUCCAACUCGAGUAACCGUCGCUUUGAAACAUAUUCUAGUCAGCCUAAGAUAGAGCGAAACCAAAACCAAACCUAAGCAUUAGCCUAACACGGCUUAAUACCUAAGGCGUAUGAAGUUCAUUAGUUGAAACUUCCAAAGUCAUGUCUAACGUCUCCGACCUCACGACAUACCAUUUUGCUUGAUAUUUGAAUGAUGUACAUCUGAAAACCAAAUUUGGGGUGGGUAAACUUAACCGGAUUUUGUUUUGUAGGUAUGAAUCGCUUUCCAACAUUCGACAUGGUCGUAGAAGCACCACAUCUACUCAAAAUAUGGUUUAACAAUCUUGACGCUGAUAAUAGAAGAGCCCUCAACAAGUAUGUGGGCUCCUUAACCGAGUUGAUCAACGUGAAGGGUUGACCUGAGCUGAUCGAAGUCCUCACAGGUUAUUGGGACAACACAAAAAUGGUGUUUCGAUUUAGAAUUGUGGAAAUUACCUCGACAAUCGAAGAACUUCGGGACUACAUUGACACCGUGGGUACAGGGCUAGAAAGAAGAGUGAGAAAGCAAGAGGACAUCAUGAUCCCAAAAAAGCCUUUUGUCGAAGAUAUCGUAGACUGGUUCGGGUUAGGAAAAGAUUACACUUACUGGUGCCGAGUAUAUAACGUAGCGUUCAGAGAUCUCUACGUCAGAUUUGGACACGCGAGAUUCUAUGCAAAUUCUAAACAAGAGUUCAAAAUUACAUAUAGAGAAUGGAACGAGAUCUGACCCUUGGUAUUUGUCAUCGCAUUAUUGGGAACAAUGGUCUUUCCACACGGCUCGAGCUUGAGUAUCAAAACUCGAGUGAUAAUGCUUGCCCACACAUUGUUCAAAGGGUUUAAGAAUCAAGGACAAGUGAAAUAUUAUCCCAUCGCCUCAGGUCAUAUUGUUUGAAAUGUAUCGAGCCCUAAGAAGGUGUAAAGAGGGACAUCAUUACUUUCAAGGAUGUAACUUGCUCCUUCAAUGGUGGAUUUUGAGUCAUCUAGCAAAAGGACAUGAGACUCAGGAAUUGUAUACCCUGGAUAAUAAGAACACUCUCAUAGAUUUGAAUGA
Long non-coding RNA from Solanum pennellii, 5610 nucleotides. RefSeq lists it as uncharacterized. Lineage: Eukaryota; Viridiplantae; Streptophyta; Magnoliopsida; Solanales; Solanaceae. The transcript has 2 exons. The record is from RefSeq and is a predicted model, not a curated record.